RNAcentral lists this transfer RNA (73 nucleotides) under Pontibacillus yanchengensis Y32. It matches the Rfam family "tRNA". From Rfam's summary of the family: Transfer RNA (tRNA) molecules are approximately 80 nucleotides in length. Their secondary structure includes four short double-helical elements and three loops (D, anti-codon, and T loops). Further hydrogen bonds mediate the characteristic L-shaped molecular structure. tRNAs have two regions of fundamental functional importance: the anti-codon, which is responsible for specific mRNA codon recognition, and the 3' end, to which the tRNAs corresponding amino acid is attached (by aminoacyl-tRNA synthetases). tRNAs cope with the degeneracy of the genetic code in two manners: having more than one tRNA (with a specific anti-codon) for a particular amino acid; and 'wobble' base-pairing, i.e. permitting non-standard base-pairing at the 3rd anti-codon position. Lineage: Bacteria; Bacillati; Bacillota; Bacilli; Caryophanales; Bacillaceae. The record is from Rfam by way of RNAcentral.
GGUAAUAUAGCCAAGAGGUUAAGGCGAAGGUCUGGCAAAACCUUUAUCCUAGGUUCAAGUCCGAAUAUCACCU